GUCCUCAUGGCCCUUAUGACCAGGGCUUCACACGUCAUACAAUGGUCGGUACAGAGGGUAGCCAAGCCGCGAGGUGGAGCCAAUCUCACAAAACCGAUCGUAGUCCGGAUUGCACUCUGCAACUCGAGUGCAUGAAGUCGGAAUCGCUAGUAAUCGCAGGUCAGCAUACUGCGGUGAAUACGUUCCCGGGUCUUGUACACACCGCCCGUCACACCAUGGGAGUGGGGGAUACCAGAAGUAGGUAGGGUAACCGCAAGGAGCCCGCUUACCACGGUAUGCUUCAUGACUGGGGUGAAGUCGUAACAAGGUAGCCGUAGGGGAACCUGCGGCUGGAUCAC
RNAcentral lists this ribosomal RNA (338 nucleotides) under [Eubacterium] sulci. Its description in RNAcentral is "bacterial SSU rRNA". It matches the Rfam family "Bacterial small subunit ribosomal RNA", at positions 1189 to 1526 of the family's 1533-position model. Lineage: Bacteria; Bacillati; Bacillota; Clostridia; Peptostreptococcales; Anaerovoracaceae. The record is from RNAcentral.